RNAcentral lists this ribosomal RNA (301 nucleotides) under uncultured bacterium. RNAcentral describes it as "partial 16S ribosomal RNA". It matches the Rfam family "Bacterial small subunit ribosomal RNA", at positions 509 to 807 of the family's 1533-position model. The record is from RNAcentral.
CAGUCGCCGCGGGAAUACAGAGGGUGCGAGCGUUAAUCGGAUUUACUGGGCGUAAAGCGUGCGUAGGCGGCUUCUUAAGUCGGAUGUGAAAUCCCUGAGCUUAACUUAGGAAUUGCAUUCGAUACUGGGAAGCUAGAGUAUGGGAGAGGAUGGUAGAAUUCCAGGUGUAGCGGUGAAAUGCGUAGAGAUCUGGAGGAAUACCGAUGGCGAAGGCAGCCAUCUGGCCUAAUACUGACGCUCAUGCACGAAAGCGUGGGGAGCAAACAGGAUUAGAUACCCCCGUAGUCCCUGUCUCUUAUAC